GGGAAGGGGAGGGGAGGCAGGAAGUCUGUGUCAAUAGCUGUGAGGAAAGACCAAAACUCACCAUUAAAUACUCCAUCUAUGACACAGUAGAGCAGAUUCGGGAAGGAGAGGGUGCAUUUACAAAAAUGGAGAGGGGGAGUUACGAGGGUUCCCCUACCUAAAACAUGCAUGGUUGCGCUUUCUUUUGUGAUCUUUAGAGGUGUGAAAGCUUUUGCUUCUUUCCCUUUAAAUUUGAGCUCUUACUUUUCCAAAUUUCCCAACAAGCACCUAACCUCACUCCCCCCAUUUGGUUCAUCCUUCAAUUUGUUUGAUGUGUUGGUUUGAGAGGUUGAAGCUGCCAGCAUGAUCUGGUAAUGAACCUAUUACUCUUUAUACAUAUAUCAACAAUAAUCUUAUAGCACUAUUUAUAGAUAGACAAGAUUAAUAUUGUCAUAGAUACAUAUUGAUAUAUAAACCAACGAAUCGAGGUAGGUUGUCUUAGUAGUUUAGGUUGAUCAAUUGAUUGUGAGUUUUUCUGGCUAUGAAAGUAGAAUAUAUUGGUGAUUUGUUAUAAUUAUCAAGAAAAAGGAAUUGUACUAACAGGGAAGGCACAUAGGUAAACUUGUUCCUCAUACAUGGGGUAUACGUAUUUUCCAGGAAAAAGGGUAGAAAAAUAAUUAGAAUUAAACUAGCUUGAACUUAGACCUGUAUAAAUAUAUGGUUCCACCAGGUCAUCUUGCAGCUUCAAUCACUCAUUCACCAACAGCAGAAGAGAUUCGGAAACAUGCUUUCUGGGGUCUAAUUUGCUCUCACAAGAGCUUAAUUCAUACAGGUAUGUAAAUGGAACAAUUUAAGGUGAAGCAGGAAAUUUAUCGAAGGCUGCAAGUGAUUCAAGUCUCCCACUAAAGCUGGAAAAAAGGAGAAAGCUUCGCUUGUAAGAUCCCUUGGAGCUUCUUUGCUACGUCUGCAAAAACAAGUUCCUGCUACCAAUCAGUCAAAAAGGCACCCGUGUUUCUGCACACAAAAAUUGAUCUGCCAUUUUUGAAUCUGCCACUUGAAGAAACAAAGACACAGAUCUGCUACUGCAAACCCCAGUUUCAUUGCCAUUGUACCGUUUUAGCAUUCUCUGGGGUGACACAUGUAGGACAACAUAUGACAUAUGUAAGAAAGAUCUGGAAAAAAUACCCAAAUUUUUUUUUUAAAAAAAAGUACUUACAACUUUAAGAGUUUUUUUUUUUUGAGAAAUAAUAUAUCUUCAUGAGUUGCAC
Molecule: long non-coding RNA, 1247 nt
Filed under: Populus euphratica (Euphrates poplar)
Lineage: Eukaryota; Viridiplantae; Streptophyta; Magnoliopsida; Malpighiales; Salicaceae
Source: RNAcentral